CCCCUAGAUGUUCUGGGCCGCACGCGCGCUACACUGAACAGUUCAACAAGUCUUAACCUUGGCCGAUAGGUCUGGGUAAUCUUUGAACGCUGUUCGUGAUUGGGAUAGACCUUUGCAAUUAUGGGUCUUCAACGAGGAAUUCCUAGUAAACGCAAGUCAUCAGCUUGCAUUGAUUACGUCCCUGCCCUUUGUACACACCGCCCGUCGCACCUACCGAUUGAAUGGUCCGGUGAAAUCUCGGGACGGCGGCUUGGUCGCUUGCGUACGACUGCUGAAACUUGAUUAAACCAUAUCAUUUAGAGGAAGGUGAAGUCGUAACA
RNAcentral lists this ribosomal RNA (320 nucleotides) under uncultured eukaryote. RNAcentral describes it as "partial 18S ribosomal RNA". It matches the Rfam family "Eukaryotic small subunit ribosomal RNA", at positions 1470 to 1796 of the family's 1831-position model. The record is from RNAcentral.